This 471-nucleotide ribosomal RNA is filed under the name uncultured bacterium. RNAcentral describes it as "partial 16S ribosomal RNA". It matches the Rfam family "Bacterial small subunit ribosomal RNA", at positions 28 to 507 of the family's 1533-position model. The record is from RNAcentral.
GAUGAACGCUAGCUACAGGCUUAACACAUGCAAGUCGAGGGGAAACGACAUUGAAGCUUGCUUCGAUGGUCGUCGACCGGCGCACGGGUGAGUAACGCGUAUCCAACCUGCCUCUGACCAAGGGAUAACCCGUCGAAAGUCGGCCUAAUACCUUAUGCAGUCGUCGGAAUUCAUCUGAUGACGACGAAAGAUUUCAUCGGUGAGAGAUGGGGCUGCGUCUGAUUAGCUUGUUGGCGGGGUAACGGCCCACCAAGGCAACGAUCAGUAGGGGUUCUGAGAGGAGGAGAAGUCACACGGGGACUGAGACACGGCCCAUACUGCUACGGGAGGCAGCGGUGGGGAAUAUUGGGGAAUGGGCGAUAGUGUGAUGCAGCAAUGCCGCGGGAGAGAUGAAGGCCUUAGGGUUGUAAAGAUCUUUUACGCGGGAUGAUAAUGACAGUACCGGGAGAAUAAGCUCCGGGUAACUCAGUG